Molecule: ribosomal RNA, 253 nt
Filed under: uncultured bacterium
Lineage: Bacteria
Description: partial 16S ribosomal RNA
Rfam family: Bacterial small subunit ribosomal RNA
Source: RNAcentral
UACGUAGGGUGCAAGCGUUAUCCGGAAUUACUGGGCGUAAAGGGCUCGUAGGUGGCCAACUAAGUCAGACGUGAAAUCCCUCGGCUUAACCGGGGAACUGCGUCUGAUACUGGAUGGCUUGAGUUUGGGAGAGGGACGCGGAAUUCCUGGUGUAGCGGUGAAAUGCGCAGAUAUCAGGAGGAACACCGGUGGCGAAGGCGGGUCUCUGGGCCGUAACUGACGCUGAGGAGCGAAAGCAUGGGGAGCGAACAGG